Molecule: ribosomal RNA, 567 nt
Filed under: Triticum aestivum (bread wheat)
Lineage: Eukaryota; Viridiplantae; Streptophyta; Magnoliopsida; Poales; Poaceae
Description: partial small subunit ribosomal RNA
Source: RNAcentral
AUGGAUCCGAGGCCGGGUCCCUUCUGGUGUGGAGGUGCUCAAACGGAACGACCCGGGAGAUGGGAUGUGCCCGCUCUGUGGGACGGAAACCACAUCUUCUCCCGCGUGUCCAUUCAAUUCCUAUGGAGUUGCCUACGUGAAGCGGUGGGUGGUAGUUGGUGCCACAACAACUUCCCCAACCUCUUCGUUGAACUCCAGUCUUCACCGCCAGCUCUUUGGCGGCCGCUUAGCCGCCCCCAAGACCGAGACGCCAUCAACACCAUCAUUGCUGAUCUUCGCGUGAUGGCUCUAUGCUUGGCGCCGCCACUAUCUCCUUCAUCAUCAGAAGCCCUCGCUCAUGUCACCAAUGACCAAUCCCUGCGUUUCAAAAGGAAAAAAAAGACCAAUCCCUGCGGGCUCUCUCUCUCUUAUUGCGAAAGCCCUGCUCUCUCCUUGUCGGCGCCGGCGACGAGGGGAGCUCUUUCUCAGCGUGCGCAACAUCGACGGUCGGAGAGCUGUCAAUCCAAGUCGCAGCGGCAGCUAGCGAUUCUGCUGUUUCUUGCCCCUAAUCUUCUGGUGUACCUGUAG